Molecule: long non-coding RNA, 661 nt
Filed under: Phoenix dactylifera (date palm)
Lineage: Eukaryota; Viridiplantae; Streptophyta; Magnoliopsida; Arecales; Arecaceae
Description: long non-coding RNA (PDAC_LNC019834)
Source: RNAcentral
CAGAAAAAAAAUGUUUGCAAGUGAUUGCAAAAGUAGGAUGUAAUGCAACUAUAAUGUAGUUUCAAGGAUGAUAAGAUUGUUCUACGACACACUUAUUUAGAGAAAAAAAAACUUCAUAUCAUGGUUUAAAAUAUCACCUCUUGCCAUUAGGUUUGUCUUACAACUUCUUUAGCAAGCCAGCCGGAAAAUAAAUUUUGUGGUAUGCUCGAUGGGACAGUACGAAGCGAACACACCCAUUCAUGUGUCAUGAUGCGAUAGGAUAACAACAAAUUCAAUUUGACGAAAAAACUAGAAUGAUCCUAUUGCAUAAGGUUUAAAAUCUUAUUUCACGAUUCCCACUUUUUGCUUAAAAAUUGGAAUAGAUUGAAAUGAGAAUUGGAAUGGCUAUAUUUCUCAUGUAUUUAGUUCGCGACUGAAACCGAAACCGAAAUCAGAAUGAGAUUAGCUAGGGGAGAGUUGGAAUUAGAUUUUGGGAGAUUGGGGCAUUUCUGCUUUUAUAGAAUUGAAAUAGAAUGUGAGUCCUCCAAUCAAGCAAUUGAAACGGAAGUCACUUAUUCUCAUUUCUAGUUCAGGGAGCAUAACUCUUCCUAACCAAAAAUGCCCUAAAGAUAGUGGAUUCACUCAAGGACCAGAAAUUCCUUAAGAAACUUAGUCGCCAGUG